Molecule: non-coding RNA, 74 nt
Organism: Baffinella frigidus
Lineage: Eukaryota; Cryptophyceae; Cryptomonadales; Baffinellaceae
Source: the annotation of a GenBank genome assembly
ACCCGUUUAGCUCAGUGGCAUAGAGCGAUUCGCUUUUAACGAAUUGGUCGCGGGUUCGAACCCCGCAACGGGUA